This 94-nucleotide small RNA is filed under the name Klebsiella aerogenes. RNAcentral's name for it is "Enterobacterial sRNA STnc70". It matches the Rfam family "Enterobacterial sRNA STnc70". The record is from RNAcentral. Lineage: Bacteria; Pseudomonadati; Pseudomonadota; Gammaproteobacteria; Enterobacterales; Enterobacteriaceae.
GAGCGCAACAUAUUGCCAGCCAUUCUGGCGCUGAAGCUACCUGCGGGUAUUUCAGGUAACGGGGCCGCCUGAGAGGGCGGCCUUUUUACUUUCA